Molecule: ribosomal RNA, 385 nt
Filed under: uncultured bacterium
Lineage: Bacteria
Description: bacterial SSU rRNA
Rfam family: Bacterial small subunit ribosomal RNA
Source: RNAcentral
GAUGAACGCUAGCGGCAGGCUUAACACAUGCAAGUCGAGGGGUAGCGCGGGUAGCAAUACCUGGCGACGACCGGCAAACGGGUGCGGAACACGUACUGAACCUACCUUGAUCUGGGGCAUAGCCCGAAGAAAUUCGGAUUAACUCCCCAUAAUAUAGAUGAGUGGCAUCACUUGACUAUUAAAAAUUUAUUGGAUCGAGAUGGCAGUGCGUCCCAUUAGCUAGUUGGUAGGGUAACGGCCUACCAAGGCGACGAUGGGUAGCUGGUGUGAGAGCACGACCAGCCACACGGGCACUGAGACACGGGCCCGACUCCUACGGGAGGCAGCAGUGAGGAAUAUUGGUCAAUGGACGCAAGUCUGAACCAGCCAUGCCGCGUGAAGGAUG